CAGUCGCCGCGGUAAUACGUAGGGUGCGAGCGUUAAUCGGAAUUACUGGGCGUAAAGCGUGCGCAGGCGGUUGUGUAAGGCAGGUGUGAAAUCCCCGGGCUUAACCUGGGAACUGCGCUUGUGACUGCACAGCUAGAGUAUGGCAGAGGGGGGUGGAAUUCCACGUGUAGCAGUGAAAUGCGUAGAGAUGUGGAGGAACACCGAUGGCGAAGGCAGCCCCCUGGGCCAAUACUGACGCUCAUGCACGAAAGCGUGGGGAGCAAACAGGAUUAGAUACCCGAGUAGUCCCUGUCUCUUAUAC
RNAcentral lists this ribosomal RNA (301 nucleotides) under uncultured bacterium. RNAcentral describes it as "partial 16S ribosomal RNA". It matches the Rfam family "Bacterial small subunit ribosomal RNA", at positions 509 to 807 of the family's 1533-position model. The record is from RNAcentral.